RNAcentral lists this transfer RNA (74 nucleotides) under Octopus bimaculoides (California two-spot octopus). RNAcentral describes it as "transfer RNA lysine (anticodon CUU)". It matches the Rfam family "tRNA". Rfam says of the family: Transfer RNA (tRNA) molecules are approximately 80 nucleotides in length. Their secondary structure includes four short double-helical elements and three loops (D, anti-codon, and T loops). The record is from RNAcentral. Lineage: Eukaryota; Metazoa; Mollusca; Cephalopoda; Octopoda; Octopodidae.
GCCUGGCUAGCUCAGUCGGUAGAGCACAAGACUCUUAAUCUCGGGGUCCGUGGGUUCGAGCCCCACGUUGGGUG